ACUCCUACGGGAGGCAGCAGUGGGGAAUAUUGCACAAUGGGCGCAAGCCUGAUGCAGCCAUGCCGCGUGUAUGAAGAAGGCCUUCGGGUUGUAAAGUACUUUCAGCGGGGAGGAAGGCGAUAAGGUUAAUAACCUUGUUGAUUGACGUUACCCGCAGAAGAAGCACCGGCUAACUCCGUGCCAGCAGCCGCGGUAAUACGGAGGGUGCAAGCGUUAAUCGGAAUUACUGGGCGUAAAGCGCACGCAGGCGGUCUGUCAAGUCGGAUGUGAAAUCCCCGGGCUCAACCUGGGAACUGCAUUCGAAACUGGCAGGCUAGAGUCUUGUAGAGGGGGGUAGAAUUCCAGGUGUAGCGGUGAAAUGCGUAGAGAUCUGGAGGAAUACCGGUGGCGAAGGCGGCCCCCUGGACAAAGACUGACGCUCAGGUGCGAAAGCGUGGGGAGCAAACAGGAUUAGAAACCCCAGUAGUCCCAUGA
RNAcentral lists this ribosomal RNA (474 nucleotides) under uncultured organism. RNAcentral's name for it is "partial 16S ribosomal RNA". It matches the Rfam family "Bacterial small subunit ribosomal RNA", at positions 335 to 800 of the family's 1533-position model. The record is from RNAcentral.